AUUCUAGCAUAAGAGAUUCUAGUCUGAUUAGUAGUACAUUCAUCAGCAUAUAUUGGUUUCCCAAUAACACUAGCUAUCCUACUCAAGGACUUGCUACCCCAACAAGACAUUGGUAAGUCAGGGAAUUUUAUCCAUAAAGGAAUCUCAGUAGGAAAAGCUGCUUUCAAAUCAAAAUCUGCAGACCAUUGUUUCAAAAUCAUUGGUC
This 205-nucleotide long non-coding RNA is filed under the name Nicotiana benthamiana. RNAcentral's name for it is "long non-coding RNA (NBEN_LNC000165)". The record is from RNAcentral. Lineage: Eukaryota; Viridiplantae; Streptophyta; Magnoliopsida; Solanales; Solanaceae.